This 518-nucleotide long non-coding RNA is filed under the name Oryza sativa (Asian cultivated rice). RNAcentral describes it as "long non-coding RNA (OSAT_LNC000368)". Lineage: Eukaryota; Viridiplantae; Streptophyta; Magnoliopsida; Poales; Poaceae. The record is from RNAcentral.
CGAAGACUUGUUAUCUGGCAGAUUUGUUACCUGGCCUCUCCACCAUGUGACCCCAUGGAAAUUGUUUAGAAUGAUGUGGGACCUGUCACAUCAACCCAUAUGACCCCGAAGACUUGUUAUCUGGCCUCUCCGCCAUGUGACCCAUGGAAAAUGUGACCCCAUGGAAAUUGUUUAGAAUGAUGUGGGACCUGUCACAUCAACCCAUAUGACCCCGAAGACUUGUUAUCUGGCCUCUCCGCCAUGUGACCCAUGGAAAUUGUUCCGGGUUCUAAACCUUGGGCUCUGAUACCAUUUGUUAGAGUGUGCAGCCUGGCCCACCAACCGUGGGCCACCCAGGUCACAUUGGUUCUGCUCUACCACAAGCCCAAUUGGAGCCACAACUUUAGGUCCUGGGCCUACACAACCAAAAGACUAGUUUGAUGGGUGAGGAUCGCCCCCACUUUUUAAGUCGUGCUCCCCCAUCAUCAAUUACCGAUGUGGGACUAAACCCAACAACGCAGCGGUGCGACCAGAAGCAA